GUCGAGCGAAGUCUUCGGACUUAGCGGCGGACGGGUGAGUAACGCGUGGGAACGUGCCCUUUGCUUCGGAAUAGCCCCGGGAAACUGGGAGUAAUACCGAAUGUGCCCUAUGGGGGAAAGAUUUAUCGGCAAAGGAUCGGCCCGCGUUGGAUUAGGUAGUUGGUGGGGUAAUGGCCUACCAAGCCGACGAUCCAUAGCUGGUUUGAGAGGAUGAUCAGCCACACUGGGACUGAGACACGGCCCAGACUCCUACGGGAGGCAGCAGUGGGGAAUCUUAGACAAUGGGCGCAAGCCUGAUCUAGCCAUGCCGCGUGAUCGAUGAAGGCCUUAGGGUUGUAAAGAUCUUUCAGGUGGGAAGAUAAUGACGGUACCACCAGAAGAAGCCCCGGCUAACUCCGUGCCAGCAGCCGCGGUAAUACGGAGGGGGCUAGCGUUAUUCGGAAUUACUGGGCGUAAAGCGCACGUAGGCGGAUCGGAAAGUCAGAGGUGAAAUCCCAGGGCUCAACCCU
Molecule: ribosomal RNA, 509 nt
Filed under: Rhodobacter sp. JA586
Lineage: Bacteria; Pseudomonadati; Pseudomonadota; Alphaproteobacteria; Rhodobacterales
Description: bacterial SSU rRNA
Rfam family: Bacterial small subunit ribosomal RNA
Source: RNAcentral